Molecule: ribosomal RNA, 274 nt
Filed under: uncultured bacterium
Lineage: Bacteria
Description: partial 16S ribosomal RNA
Rfam family: Bacterial small subunit ribosomal RNA
Source: RNAcentral
AUACGGAGGGUGCAAGCGUUACUCGGAAUCACUGGGCGUAAAGCGCGCGCAGGCGGCUUGAUAAGUUGGAUGUGAAAGCCUACGGCUCAACCGUAGAACUGCAUCCAAAACUGUCAAGCUAGAGUGUGGGAGAGGAAGAUGGAAUUAGUUGUGUAGGGGUAAAAUCCGUAGAGAUAACUAGGAAUACCAAAAGCGAAGGCAAUCUUCUGGAACACUACUGACGCUGAGGCGCGAAAGCGUGGGGAGCAAACAGGAUUAGAAACCCUAGUAGUCC